GCGUGGCUUUGGGUUCCUCCAGACCUGGGUUCAAAUCUUUUCUCCUCCGCGGCUUCGGCUUCCUUGCUCGGCGGCUUCGGGGGACCCACUCACUGGUCCCCUCAGAGCCUCGGUGGGCUCACCUGGCAAAGCGGGUGGGGACCUUGAGGGAUCAUCGAGAGGUCAGAGAGCAGAUGUGUACGAAUAGCUGCUCACAGUAGGCUCUCAAGGAAGGAGAGCUGUUGCCAGUGACCAGGAGUUCUAGCUCUGUUAUCCUGUCCUUUACAGAAAAGAAUAACGAGGAAUAAAUGCUUUGCUACCUCCCAGAACUGACAACUGCUUCGGGAAGAAGGAUCGCACAUCUGUUUUGCAGGAACAACUGAGCUCCUCUCAGCCAAGUAGGCAAACUGCAGAGCCUUCUCGCAUCUUCCUCCGUCUUCCUUCCCAAGGCAAAUGGAACCUUGGGCAUGCGGUGGUGGGCUGUGAGGACGGGCCCCUGUGGAUCUCGCCAGGUGGGUGGGAUAAGCCCAGCCACGUGGCAGACCCUGCUUCAGUGAAGUGGGACAGUGACAGCACCUGCCUCCUAGGCCCAUGAGCUUUUGCUCUGUAAGUACACACAGAGCCCCCAGAAUUGCCUGUGGCAUGCAGUGAGUGCCCAGCAAAUGCCAGCAUUCUCCUCCUGUUUUAAAAGGCCUCAGUGGCUCGUCAAGCAAGUAGCAGGCAAACAAAGUCAUGUAAGCAUCUAAGGAUAGGGACCCCAUUUCUCAGAUGAGUAAUAAAGCUUCAAAAGCAAUGAACCA
This 779-nucleotide long non-coding RNA is filed under the name Neogale vison (American mink). RNAcentral's name for it is "Neovison vison (American mink) lncRNA (ENSNVIG00000006489.1)". Lineage: Eukaryota; Metazoa; Chordata; Mammalia; Carnivora; Mustelidae. The record is from RNAcentral.